GAUCUUUUCACGGGCAUGCACCGAUGGGCUUGUUUUUGCAACACUAAAGCGCUUUUGUUAGUCUCCCCUUUUCCCUCGACAUGGAGCGCUUUGCAUCCUAAUGCGCUGCAAGCAAAGAAGCCUGCCAGGCGCUGGCUCGGCAGUACGGAGAGGCUGAAGUACAGAGAGAGAGAGAGGAGGACGGUGUUAAUCACUCCAGUCUGUAUGAAAAGGCCAGAGAACUCCUUAGCAAUUCCUCACACACUUCCUUUCUGCACACACACUAUGCCCACUUCCACCACAAUAAAGGACUGGGAUCAAUUUUGAUGUCUGGUUUAUCCUUGAAACACCAUCGGAUUUACGUGUGGGGAUCCCCCUUUUGUGGAUAACACUGUUUUUAUAUGUUCUGACAGCGGAUCACGUGUUUGAUCUCAGCAGGUGAAGACAGAUUAGCUCGGCUACAUUUGAGGAUGGUGAAAGCAAACAACACCUGGAAUAAUUAGACUUAAUUUGUUUCUUCCUUGGGGUUCAUUUGAGGCUGCGGAGCUUUUUUCUCUCUUUUCGGCAGAAGGUGCCAGGAAUUCUUCCCACUUUUAAUCAUUGAAAUGAAGCAAUCAGCGGCUCGAUUGGUGUGACGGUGACUCCGGAUCGCUCGGCUCUGUAAAAAACCUGCCAGAUCCGCGACUCCUCUAUGAGAAGUGGCCGAGUUGAUGGAGGCGGCAUGGAAAGCCGACAGAGAGGUCCUCACGUCUAUCUCAAAUGACAAUCGGGCCAGAGGCAGCGUAAACAUGCAAACUCCACAUUGAACCCAGGACCCAGGAGUUCUACCCAUCACCCUUCGCUUCACCUCCACCAGGUGAGUAUCACCCAACCUUCACAAGGGAUUGCGUAAUGUCCGAGUGUUUUGGUUCAUUCGCGUUAAUAUGAGGCCCUCUGGGUUGUAAAUGUCCCUGUGGCAGUGAUGAAGGGAGCCCUUGGCCGCUGUAGCCGCUCUCCCCAUCCUUUGCCUCGCCACAGACGGGGCCCAGACAUUAUUCGGACCCGAUAAAAGCCCUUUGAUCUGAGCUUAGAGGAGACAUCCACAGCUCCUGCCAAGCCUUAACUCCCAUUGAUCAGCCUCCGGACAGCUGGCACAGGUUACAGGACAAACUCAGUAAAGGUUGAUGAGGAAGGAGUCCGGCCGGUGCCGGUGCCAAGUGUUAUUGUUUAUAGCCACAUAGCUACGGAGCCAGAAGGACCUGGGCACACGGCUACCUGUCGCCACUCGAAGGACACGCGGUUUCCAGCCGCAACCUGCGAUCGAUGCGGAGUCGAGCAAUGUUUGUCCUCCGUCAGAACCAUCUCGCCGCUUCAUCCUUCCCCCGACUGCAGAUUAAGGAGCGGAUGCAAAUUGGGAGUCAUUACAGUCGAUUUGGCUCAAGUACAAUUCUAGCCUGAAGCUGAAGGAACGUUACAGAGCGUGGAUCCCAACUGUCUUCCUCCACAGAUGAACGACGGCCGAAUGGCUUCUGAUGACGCUUGUCUACAUCUUAUUUGGCUCAACGCCGCGCUGCCCCCUGCCUGCUCCAAUUUGCGGAACUGACAUGACAUGCUAAUACUCACAGCAGUGACAUGCUCAAACAUCUCCCAGCAGAUGCUCCUUUGCUCAGCAGGGAAAUCGUCCAUAUACUAAAUACUAACAAACAACAUGGCUGUCAGACUAUAGUGCAUUUUCUAUAUUAUGUUGCAAAUCGGGAUUUGUAUCUAUGACUUCAGCUUCUAAAUUGUUGGGUAUCUUCAAUCCUCUCAAUUCAAAUCAAUGGAUCCAAAAUAUGUGUUAGCAUGUGGCUAGCACAGCUAGAAGAGAUGCACUGAUCUUACCUGCUCACUGUCCAACCACAACAAAUGCUGCGAUGAACCACAGAGCUACAGCGCUGCUUCGGCUGCAUUAUGUCGUAUUAUAUCUCAAUCACUUACAGCCUCAAUCCACUUGUGGGAAAUUUGAAUGAGUCGAUUUCCUCGUGGGCAGCAACAGUUUAAGCACAGACUGUAGUUGUCAUGCUCGACGUGUCAUUUCCAAUCAGGCAGUUCCGCGGCGCUCUCUAACAGCUGCAGACACUGGUCUGAUGGGUGGAUCCCCGAUCGCCCAGCAACCACUCCGUGUCCACAACGCACAGGUAAAAUAGUCACAGCAUCUGUCAGAGUGUUCCGUUAAGGGUGUGUGUGUGUGUGUGGGGGGGGGUACAUCACUUGGCUGAGCAGCCAUCUUUUUGCCCUUGGCCAAUAAACACAUUUUCAUCAAACUUUUACAGUGUACCCAGAGCAGAUAACGCAUGCCAUUGGGAAGCUUCACUGACCCGACGCUUGAGCUCCAGGUCAGUGCUGCUUUGGUGUAUUUGUCUCUUCAGCUCCCAACAAAUAAAACAAUGUCUGAGAUAUUAUGCAUCUAAACUAUUCUAACUACCACCAUGACGGAGUUACAGCACCGUGACCUGAGUUGUGUAACUUCCACAGAAGCAUAAAUAAACAUAACUAGUCUUUGA
This is a long non-coding RNA of Betta splendens (Siamese fighting fish), 2501 nucleotides long. RefSeq lists it as uncharacterized. The transcript has 3 exons. NCBI's taxonomy places the organism in Eukaryota, Metazoa, Chordata, Actinopteri, Anabantiformes, Osphronemidae. The record is from RefSeq and is a predicted model, not a curated record.